Non-coding RNA from Gossypium hirsutum (cotton), 145 nucleotides. The record is from Rfam. NCBI's taxonomy places the organism in Eukaryota, Viridiplantae, Streptophyta, Magnoliopsida, Malvales, Malvaceae.
CGUUAAAUCAAAGAGUAAAUUGUUUGCACUGUUAAAAACUAGCAGGGCUAAUGGAAUAACCAAACAAUGAUACGUGCCAUGUGUACCUCAUACUGAUGUAAAAGGACUAAUUUUUAACAGUAAAAAUAGAUUGAUUUUUUUAACA